UAUAAAUAAGAAAGAAGGAGAUCAACAAGAAAUUUUAUAAUCUAUAUUGAAUGUUUCAUGCUUAAUACAGAUGUAAGUGGAUCAUUGAACAGUUCCAACCAAUAAAUUAAACUAGCCCUAUAUGCCAUUGAUAAUGUCUUGCAACAAAUCCUUGGUUUGUUGAAUUUCAAGUUUUUCACCAUCUCUGUCCUGAACAAUAUGGAGAUAACAGUUAAAUAAUUGAAGUGAAUAUUAUAUCAUGGUUAAGAUUUGGAAGGUACAUGUGGAAUAUUUACAGAUGAACCGAAGUUCAUCCUCAUAUGCUGAAAUCAUAUUCAUUGAAAAUAAAAAUAAGCAAGUUUGCCAUCUUAUCUUAUCACCUGUAUACAGCUUGAAAUAAGAAAUGCUCCUUUUGUGGUUGUGAGAUUGGUGUCUAUGAGUUCAAUGCUGAAAUUAUUGAGAGCUUCCAUCAAUUUUCUGAAUCUUCCUUUUCUCUUCUCAAUGAUGAUCUUAACCCAGAGUUUAUUUCCGUCUAUUUGUGCCACCCUAACUUCUUCCUGCAGAGAAACCAGCACAACAACAUUAACAAUUAAUAGUUGCAUAGAUUAUUCAUUUUUUUUUCAACCAACUAGUGUAUGACCUGUAUUCCCAAAUCCUUCAUAUCUUGUGCAGCAUCAAUUUCAUCUGUUGUGUUUCCUGUUUCCUCUGAAGUUGUUUCCAUUUGGUGAAGCUCUUGACUGAGACUCUGGACUUUGUCUUGAAGCUUCUCAAUGUAGGUGAUAGCAUCUUCAAUAAUUGUGGCUUUGUUCAUCUAAAACCAAAAUUAAAGUUUAUAAUCAUGUUACAUUGCAUCCCUAGAAUUGAAUGAAGAAUCAGAUAAAGAAGAAGAAUCAUAUAAGAAAGUGAAGAGUGUAGAUAAUUACAUUUGUGAUGAUAGGCACUAUAGCACGAAGCAUCAAGAGUCUGCUACUGAGCUUCUCCCUCCUCCUUCUUUCCGUUUCUAGGUUCUUUGAUUUGAACUCUCUGGUGCCAUCAUCAUAGUUUCUCUUCCGACCUAUCCCUUGCUUGCUAGAACCAUUUUCAGUAGCAAGAGAAAACUCUUCCAUAGUUACACAUAACCAAUCCUCAUCUUCAUACUCCAUUUGUGAGGGUGCAGGAUGGGUUUUGGGGAAAGGGAUGUGUAAACUGAGCAUGGUUGGUGGCUAUAUAAGUGGUUUUCAUAGAGGCAUCAUGUCAGAGAAACAGAAGAGAUAGAAAGUACAUUGAUGCAUGUUUUGAGGGUCUUCUUUCUGUGUGGUCCCAAGUUAGUUCUGCUUGAAAAUGCCACUACAAAUCACAUUGAAGGUGUUCGUAAUUUUUUUCCAUUGAUUAUAGUCUGAUAAAGGUCUCAAAAGAAAAACAUAUUAUCUAAUGAGAUUGGUAAAUUUACCUCAGAGACAUUUUCUCCUUAUUUGUACUCCGGUUGAAUCCAAAUGCUGCAAUUGGGUUUAAAAUAAAUAAAUGUUAUGUUCUACCAAAGAGAAAAUAAAUCUGGGUAUGUU
RNAcentral lists this small RNA (1520 nucleotides) under Vigna angularis var. angularis. Its description in RNAcentral is "Non-protein coding transcript". Lineage: Eukaryota; Viridiplantae; Streptophyta; Magnoliopsida; Fabales; Fabaceae. The record is from RNAcentral.